Juglans regia (Persian walnut) is the source of this 1446-nucleotide long non-coding RNA. RefSeq lists it as uncharacterized. The record is from RefSeq and is a predicted model, not a curated record. The transcript has 3 exons. Lineage: Eukaryota; Viridiplantae; Streptophyta; Magnoliopsida; Fagales; Juglandaceae.
GGGAUGCCACCAAAACGACAACGAAGAAAUAUGCCUUCUCCCCCAAGUCCCAAACCCAAUAAUGACUCCCAAACUGAGGACUCCACUCUUGAAUUAGUUAAUACACAGGAGACAGAAAGCCAAUCGACACCUACCACUGAUGCCUUGUCACGUCGCGGACGUGGCUACACAGCAGACUUGCUCUGGAAAGAAAUGGAAGGCACAGAAAAAUCAAGAUCAACAUUCCCGAUAAUUUCACUGGAGGAGUGGACGAUAGUGCAACAUUGCUUUCUUCCUAUGUUGGCACAGUAGUCCGAGUUUUUGUCCCAUUUUGUCUGCAAUAAUGGAGACAUGUUCCGAAUCAGGUGAAUGAUCACAUUCAGAGUCGUGUACUGGAUGAAUUCGACCUCAAUUUUGGCCGUAGCGAGGAUAUGUGAACCGUGAACGAGUUGAUAACUACAUUAUUUCGACGUCACAAGGGACGAUGCCAAGACCACUUCAAGAAAUUUUAGACGUUGGAAGAGGCUGUUCCGUCCCCUUUUCCAAAAAUGAAGUUAGAUGAUUGGAUGAAGCAUUGUGAUCUUUUCGCAAGUCCAAAUUAUCAAGUUUUCUAGAUUUAUUUCCUAUAAGUUAUUUGACAUCUAUAUUGGUUUCAUAUAUUAUAUUUAAUAUUGUUAAUUUCUCUUGUAGCACUUAAGUUCUAUCAAUGUACAGAAUAGAAUGGCUUUGACAAUCCACCAUCGAGCCGGCUCAAGGUCAUUUCAACAUCUUGCUGAUAAAAUGAUAAUUGAUAACUUAUUAAUUCUCACUAAUUUUUAUCAUAUUUUUUUUAUUUAAGUACUAACAUUAUAUCUUAAAGUUACUAAUGUGGCUUUGUUAGAAACAUGAUGUUCUUGAAAAUUUAUCCCCAUUUAUGUAUAUGCUGCUACUCACACUGAUGAGCAUAGUGAAUGGGUUGAUCAUAUCGCUAAAUAUAAUUAUGUAAGUGAGGUUAUUUUCUGUGAAUAAAUUAUGCAACAUGUGAAUUCAUAUUAUAUUUGAUUCCUCAUUUCUUUUAAUAUGUUACUUAUUGUGUGCUUUUGUUGUAGUUGUAGGAAAAAAUGAUUAAGAUCUAAUUAGCCUAUGAGGAAUCCUCUCCUAGUGACAUACGCAUAUUCAUGCAAGUGUUCAGGACCAAAUCUGGUUUGGUAAGAGGUUUGAGACGUUCUUUUAAGCAUGUCGGUUCAUCCUCCAAGACCUCGACUUUGAAAGUUAACAAUCUUACUAAUCAGCAUGCCAAGAAAUUGAGCAGAUGAAGUCGAGACAGCAGGAAUUGGAGUCUCUCUUAUCACAAUAGUCUGAUUUAGAGAUGCGUUUGCAGGAGCAACAAAGAUAUAUCAUUAUCAUUAUUAUUAAUAAAAACUUUUAUUGUCUAUUUUUACAACUCUAUAUGACAUUAUUAGUUAUUACAUUUUUGGUGUAAUAUGA